ACUGCUCAGUAACACGUGGACAAUCUGCCCUUGGGUCUGGGAUAACUCCGGGAAACUGGAGAUAAUACCAGAUAGGUCAUAGAUGCUGGAAUGCUCUAUGGCCCAAAGCUCCGGCGCCCAAGGAUGAGUCUGCGGCCUAUCAGGUUGUAGUGGGCGUAAUGGACCCACUAGCCUACGACGGGUACGGGUUGUGAGAGCAAGAGCCCGGAGAUGGAUUCUGAGACAUGAAUCCAGGCCCUACGGGGCGCAGCAGGCGCGAAACCUUUACAAUGCGCGCAAGCGCGAUAAGGGGACCUCGAGUGUUCCUACCUAGUAGGAACUGUCCAGUUGUCUAAAAAACAACUGUUAGCAAGAGCCGGGCAAGACCGGUGCCAGCCGCCGCGGUAACACCGGCGGCUCGAGUGGUGACCGCUUUUAUUGGGUCUAAAGGGUCUGUAGCCGGUCUAACAAGUUCUUUGGAAAAUCUGGUCGCUUAACGAUCAGGCUGCUAGGGGAUACUGUUAGACUUGGGACCGGGAGAGGCUAGAGGUACUUUAGGGGUAGGGGUGAAAUCCUGUGAUCCUUAAAGGACCACCAGUGGCGAAGGCGUCUAGCUAGAACGGAUCCGACGGUGAGGGACGAAAGCUGGGGGCACGAACCGGAUUAGAUACCCGGGUAGUCCCAGCCGUAAACGAUGCGAGCUAGGUGUCAGUUUUACUGCGAGUAAAAUUGGUGCCGUAGGGAAGCCGUGAAGCUCGCCACCUGGGAAGUACGGCCGCAAGGCUGAAACUUAAAGGAAUUGGCGGGGGAGCACUACAACGGGUGGAGCCUGCGGUUUAAUUGGA
Molecule: ribosomal RNA, 824 nt
Filed under: uncultured archaeon
Lineage: Archaea
Description: bacterial SSU rRNA
Rfam family: Archaeal small subunit ribosomal RNA
Source: RNAcentral